AUUGAACGCUGGCGGCAUGCUUUACACAUGCAAGUCGAACGGUAACAGGGUGCUUGCACCGCUGACGAGUGGCGAACGGGUGAGUAAUGCAUCGGAAUGUACCGUGUAAUGGGGGAUAGCUCGGCGAAAGCCGGAUUAAUACCGCAUACGCCCUGAGGGGGAAAGUGGGGGACCGAAAGGCCUCACGUUAUACGAGCAGCCGAUGUCUGAUUAGCUAGUUGGUGAGGUAAAGGCUCACCAAGGCGUCGAUCAGUAGCGGGUCUGAGAGGAUGAUCCGCCACACUGGGACUGAGACACGGCCCCGACUCCUACGGGAGGCAGCAGUGGGGAAUUUUGGACAAUGGGCGCAAGCCUGAUCCAGCCAUGCCGCGUGUCUGAAGAAGGCCUUCGGGUUGUAAAGGACUUUUGUCCGGGAGCAAAUCCUAGUGGUUAAUAACCGCUGGGUCUGAGAGUACCGGAAGAAUAAGCACCGGCUAACUACGUG
This 484-nucleotide ribosomal RNA is filed under the name uncultured bacterium. RNAcentral's name for it is "partial 16S ribosomal RNA". It matches the Rfam family "Bacterial small subunit ribosomal RNA", at positions 30 to 507 of the family's 1533-position model. The record is from RNAcentral.